CCCACUGCCAGCUGGCACGGAGAUGUGCAGGGACCGAGGAGGCCUCCCAGCCUCUGCUGGAGAGAAAAGUCAGGAGGGAGGCGGGGCCAGACCUCAGAAACAAAGGGGUUGCCAUGGUUACUUCAGAAGACGGGUUCUCCAGCGGGCAAGGGAUGGUGUGGAAUGCAGGCCCCCAAGCCAGGACAAGGACCAGACUAGUUGCUACGGAGACGCUCUGAAGCUUCCCUUUGGACCUUGCCAGAGUCCAGCACAGGACAGAAACCCACCACCUUCCCUGCCAAGUCUCUAAGACUGACCACCAGUGCUGGCUGCCAUCCUCAGUGUCACCUCUUGGCCCAAGAUGGCUGCUGGCACGCCAAUCAUAUUCGACCAGGAGGAAGGAAGAAAGGAAACAGGAAAGGCAGACGCGCUGGCCCACAGGCUGACCCCACCUCUAGCCCUCAGCAGCAUGUGACUGGAAACUGGGACAUCACCGCAUCACUUUGGGAUAAUCAGUCAGGCUGUGGGCUUGAGCCCUGCAUCUGCUCUUGAGGCUGUGAGCUGUGGGAUGUCAGUCUGGAGGUACCAUGCCAAGCGGAGUGGCUGCCUGAGAGGAGAGCAGGGCUGGGAGACACAGGCUCUGACGAGAGCAGUCGGGGUCCUGGAUCCAGCCAAGCCUGAAGGAGAUACACUGCCAGCAGACUGUCAGAUCCAUGCCCUGCUGAGCCAAGGUUUCCAUGCCCACUUCUCCACGUGUGGGGAGGACAGCCACCUGUCAGGACAGGCCUCUGGACUCUUCCUCUCUCCACCAGGCCAUCACAGGCUGGGACCCCCGCUUCUGGAUGGCGCACAGAUGGGAAAAUUGAGCCCAGGGACGGGAGAGCCUCCAGUGACCUCAUUACUUGUCACAUGGGCGUUUCCAGCUCUGCAUGAAUCAGCUGAGCAAAUUUAGAAAAUGCGAGAGGAUUAUGCAAUGCCAAGAAGAGGGCAGGCAAACUAGCCCAAGUGUGGAGUCCGCUGCCCGCAGCCUGGCCAGCCCAGCCUUCAACCCCCUGGGAUCUGUGGAAUGGGAUCACCAGGCCCAGUUCAUCCUGCAGCCACCCAACCUGGUCACCGCGGGAAAGUCCCAGCAGGGAGCAGGAACCCCAAAGGGAGGAGGAGGCUGGGAGACGGUCAGCCGAGAUGCUGCGUUCAGGCUCCAACGUGCUGUGAUGGUGGCGCUGCUGGGCAGAUGGUGAAGAACAGGGACUCGUCCCACUGGGGGACCUCCACAGGCAGGUGGAUGGCAGCCAGCAAUGGGCCAGCUGCAGCCAGGAGUCCAGACAAAGGCACGGCUCAGGCCCCUGCCCCGCAGCCAAGGCUGAGGGCAGGGAGGGGUCGAGGCCGCGGCAGGGAGCUCCAGCCAGGGCACAGCUGCAGCUCUGGGGGAGGGCUGGGCUGGGCAGAGCUGGGCACCAGCCCCUCCGCCACACACUGGGCCCGUGCUCUCCCUCCUUGCCCCCCGCCACAAGCCCCAGGGCUGGGUCCUCGGUCAGCACGCCGUCUGCCCAUAUCUGGCCAGGCCCAACGACGGCCAGGGUUCUGACAGUUGCUGUCCAGGGUCUGCUUGGGGUGAGCCCUGGUCCGAAGGCCCCGGAGCAGCACUGGCUGGGGGUCACGGAGUGUGCAGGCCCCGCUGACAUGUGGCACUGCUGGGUCACAGCACGGGAGGCCCGCCAAGCACCCUUGGAUUCGGCUUCAGAACCCUCUAGCCACCCUGAGAUCCCCCACCAGCCCGCCCCCAGCAUUCUGGGGAAGAUCCAGCAAAGAAAGUCCCCCUUUCUCCCCCCUUUUCUGUUUUCUCUCUUGCUGAUUCGUUUUUUUCACAUGGAGAGAACCUGCACAGAUUCAUUUCAGCAAAUACGUAUUGGCCGAUCCUGGGAGCUCUACAAACGCUCUGUGCUCUCUCCAGCCUCUGAGCCUUUGCACAUGCUGUUCCCUGCCCUGAGCCUCUCGCCUCCCCUUGCAUGGAGACCAAGGCCCCAGGGGGAGUCUCCCAGCAAGGACGAGGCAGGAGGGGCUGACGCCCAGAGGCCACUGCCCAGGCCGUGGGAUGGGGCAGCCCUGCCCCACGUAGGCUGCGCUGGCUCCAGGCGAGCAGGGUGCAGGCUAGGCAGGCUGCGGGCCUCCUUGUUACAGGCCGGCCCUGGGGUGGCCUCCAGAGCCUCUUGCCCAGGCUCUCCAUGGUCUGUGGGUCUGAAGUGGGGACAGUCGCCCCCUCACUCCCUCGUGCUCUUGCUCGCUCCACUCAACCUCACUUCUCACUCUGCGCCCUGUGCUCCCAGCACCAGGCAGUGGGACACACAGAUGCCCAAGGAGAAGGCCAUCUCUACAGUCCCAGCUGCUCCCGACUGACCCCCACCCACAGGCUUCCUCUCAGGGGUCAUCCCGCCAAGCUCUCUGUGCCCAGGCCCGCUGUCCCCCCAGCGUGCCUGGGCUCCUUGGGCACUGUCCACAAAGCACUGUUGGGGGAAGGGACAGAGGACCCCAUGGGACCCCCAGGGGCAGCUGCAGGUGAUGACUGUGGCUUUGCCUGCCCGCUACUCUUGCCCCUCCAUUCACCUCUACCCUCCACGGGGUGGGGUCUGAAUGAUGUAGGCCCUCGCUGCUGCAAGCUCAGGCACUGCUGUCGGUGUCAGGCCCAAUGGGGUUAGUUCUGGGGUUUGAUGGCAGCCCCUCUUCCUCCUAGGGAGUAGGGGGGUAGAUGAGAGCAUAGGAUAGCAGCCUAGAGCUGCAGGGAGAGAUAUUAGGGAGACAUUCCCUGCUGGGAAUGAGGUGGACGCGAGGAAAAGACAGAUGGAAAGAAGUAGCCGUUCUUUGAGCUCCUGGAUGCAGCUGUGUCUGAAACCCACCCCCUGGACUUUUCAGCCAUGAG
RNAcentral lists this long non-coding RNA (2893 nucleotides) under Equus caballus (horse). Its description in RNAcentral is "lncRNA (ENSECAG00000050842.1)". Lineage: Eukaryota; Metazoa; Chordata; Mammalia; Perissodactyla; Equidae. The record is from RNAcentral.